This 73-nucleotide transfer RNA is filed under the name Paramuricea clavata. It matches the Rfam family "tRNA". Rfam says of the family: Transfer RNA (tRNA) molecules are approximately 80 nucleotides in length. Their secondary structure includes four short double-helical elements and three loops (D, anti-codon, and T loops). Lineage: Eukaryota; Metazoa; Cnidaria; Anthozoa; Malacalcyonacea; Plexauridae. The record is from Rfam by way of RNAcentral.
GACCGCGUAGCUCAGUUGGCAGAGCAUUGGGCUAGUAUUCCAAAGGUUGUAGGUUCGAUUCCUCCCGUUGUCA